GGGGAAUAUUGCGCAAUGGGGGGAACCCUGACGCAGCGACGCCGCGUGAAGGAAGAAGGUCUUCGGAUCGUAAACUUCUUUGACUGGGGAAGAAGAAGUGACGGUACCCAGAGAACAAGCCACGGCUAACUACGUGCCAGCAGCCGCGGUAAUACGUAGGUGGCGAGCGUUGUCCGGAAUUACUGGGUGUAAAGGGCGUGUAGGCGGGGGUGCAAGUCAGAUGUGAAAACCCAAGGCUCAACUUUGGGAUUGCAUCUGAAACUGUGCUUCUUGAGUACUGGAGAGGGAAGCGGAAUUCCUAGUGUAGCGGUGAAAUGCGUAGAGAUUAGGAGGAACACCAGUGGCGAAGGCGGCUUCCUGGACAGAGACUGACGCUGAGGCGCGAAAGCGUGGGUAGCGAAC
RNAcentral lists this ribosomal RNA (402 nucleotides) under uncultured bacterium. RNAcentral describes it as "bacterial SSU rRNA". It matches the Rfam family "Bacterial small subunit ribosomal RNA", at positions 356 to 773 of the family's 1533-position model. The record is from RNAcentral.